GACAGAGGAGCCAAGCGUUGUCCGGAUUGACUGGGCGUAAAGCGCACGCAGGCGGCCGUGCACGUGGGGUGUGAAAGCGCUCGGCUUAACUGAGCGAUGCCACCUCAUACGGCAGGGCUCGAGCCCGUGAGAGGUCCACGGAAUUGCCGGUGUAGUGGUGAAAUGCGUAGAGAUCGGCAGGAACACCCAGGGGGAAACCAGUGGACUGGCACGGUGCUGACGCUCAGGUGCGAAAGCGUGGGGAGCGAUCCGG
This 253-nucleotide ribosomal RNA is filed under the name uncultured bacterium. RNAcentral's name for it is "partial 16S ribosomal RNA". It matches the Rfam family "Bacterial small subunit ribosomal RNA", at positions 524 to 776 of the family's 1533-position model. The record is from RNAcentral.